Mercurialis annua (annual mercury) is the source of this 112-nucleotide small nucleolar RNA. RefSeq annotates it as small nucleolar RNA Z152/R70/R12. Lineage: Eukaryota; Viridiplantae; Streptophyta; Magnoliopsida; Malpighiales; Euphorbiaceae. The transcript has a single exon. The record is from RefSeq and is a predicted model, not a curated record.
GAAGUGAUGAUGAGGUGAAGCACUUGAAGAAAGUGUUAAAGGGUAGUGGACGAGUCUUCGGACUGGCCGUGAACUCUUAAUUAUUAAACGACUUCUCCUUCCACUGAGCUUU